RNAcentral lists this ribosomal RNA (391 nucleotides) under Archaphanostoma sp. RNAcentral's name for it is "partial small subunit ribosomal RNA". It matches the Rfam family "Eukaryotic small subunit ribosomal RNA", at positions 582 to 975 of the family's 1831-position model. The record is from RNAcentral. Lineage: Eukaryota; Metazoa; Xenacoelomorpha; Acoela; Isodiametridae.
AUUCCAGCAUCCACAAGCAUAUACAAAAGUUGCUGCGUUUAAAAAGCUCGUAGUUGGGUCUGAUCGUCAAGUCUCGAUAAAUUGUGUUGCGUAUGCACCGAUGAGAUUGGGCGACCUUGUUAUAAAGAACUCUUGCGCUUAAUUGUGUUGAUUGUUCUUGAUAGCAGUUUUACUUUGAAUAAAAUAGAGUGUUCAAAGCAGCCUUUGGGUUUGGAUAUGAUAGCAUGGAAUAAUAGAACAGGACUGUGUCCUAAUCAUGUUGGUCUUUAGAGAUGCGGUAAUGAUUAAAAGGGACAAGCGGGGGCAUUCGUAUUGCUACGUUAGAGGUGAAAUUCUUGGAUCGUAGCAAGACGGACUACUGCGAAAGCAUUUGCCAAGAGUGUUUUCAUCG